GGGGCAUUGGUCUAGCGGUGAGGACGCCGGGUGUUCACCCCGGAGAGCGACGGUUCGACUCCGUCAUGCCCUG
This 73-nucleotide transfer RNA is filed under the name Rubrobacter sp. Its description in RNAcentral is "tRNA-Glu". It matches the Rfam family "tRNA". From Rfam's summary of the family: Transfer RNA (tRNA) molecules are approximately 80 nucleotides in length. Their secondary structure includes four short double-helical elements and three loops (D, anti-codon, and T loops). Lineage: Bacteria; Bacillati; Actinomycetota; Rubrobacteria; Rubrobacterales; Rubrobacteraceae. RNAcentral also lists the same sequence under 2 other names. The record is from RNAcentral.